ACAGUGGACGCGAGCAUCUUUGUUAGUAAGUGUGUAAGAGCGUACGGUGGAUGCCUUGGCACCAGGAGCCGAUGAAGGACGU
This 82-nucleotide ribosomal RNA is filed under the name Nocardia seriolae. Its description in RNAcentral is "partial 23S ribosomal RNA". Lineage: Bacteria; Bacillati; Actinomycetota; Actinomycetes; Mycobacteriales; Nocardiaceae. The record is from RNAcentral.